GCGAACGGGUGAGUAACACGUGGGCAAUCUGCCCUUCACUCUGGGACAAGCCCUGGAAACGGGGUCUAAUACCGGAUAACACUCCCUCCCUCCUGGGUGGGGGUUGAAAGCUCCGGCGGUGAAGGAUGAGCCCGCGGCCUAUCAGCUUGUUGGUGAGGUAAUGGCUCACCAAGGCGACGACGGGUAGCCGGCCUGAGAGGGCGACCGGCCACACUGGGACUGAGACACGGCCCAGACUCCUACGGGAGGCAGCAGUGGGGAAUAUUGCACAAUGGGCGAAAGCCUGAUGCAGCGACGCCGCGUGAGGGAUGACGGCCUUCGGGUUGUAAACCUCUUUCAGCAGGGAAGAAGCGAAAGUGACGGUACCUGCAGAAGAAGCGCCGGCUAACUACGUGCCAGCAGCCCGCGGUAAUACGUAGGGCGCAAGCGUUGUCCGGAAUUAUUGGGCGUAAAGAGCUCGUAAGCGGCUUGUCACGUCGGGUGUGAAAGCCCGGGGCUUAACCCCGGGUCUGCCCUCGAUACGGGCUUGCUAGAAUGUGGUAGGGGAGAUCGGAAUUCCUGGUGUAGCGGUGCAAUGCGCCAAAUAUCAGGAGGAACACCGGUGGCGAAGCGGAUUCUCUGGGCCAUUACUGACGCUGAAGAAGCGAAGCGUUGGGGAGCGAA
RNAcentral lists this ribosomal RNA (663 nucleotides) under Streptomyces plumbiresistens. RNAcentral's name for it is "bacterial SSU rRNA". It matches the Rfam family "Bacterial small subunit ribosomal RNA", at positions 98 to 772 of the family's 1533-position model. Lineage: Bacteria; Bacillati; Actinomycetota; Actinomycetes; Kitasatosporales; Streptomycetaceae. The record is from RNAcentral.